Schistosoma rodhaini is the source of this 46-nucleotide non-coding RNA. The record is from Rfam. Lineage: Eukaryota; Metazoa; Platyhelminthes; Trematoda; Strigeidida; Schistosomatidae.
GCACUGCUGAAGAGUCCCACAAUAGGAGGAAGCGGCCGUUCAGUGC